Molecule: long non-coding RNA, 1389 nt
Filed under: Musa acuminata (dwarf banana)
Lineage: Eukaryota; Viridiplantae; Streptophyta; Magnoliopsida; Zingiberales; Musaceae
Description: long non-coding RNA (MACU_LNC002557)
Source: RNAcentral
UUAUAGCAUUUCGGACAUUCUCCUAACUUACUACAGUCUUGCAUUAAAUGCUUUGGUUCAUUUAUUAGAUUACAAGGCUAAUAAACAUCUAUAUAGAACUAGUUCAUAUGUUUGACUCCAUUCAUGUUGUUCACCACGUAGUAUGGAAAACUAAAUAAUGAUCUUCUGAUGACAAUUAGAACCACACAUACAUUUCCCAGAUUUUCCAUUGCAGGUGAUUUGAGUUUUAUGCUAUUCUCUGAGCUGUGUCCCCAUUCAAAUGAUAAAGGCUAAUAAACCUCCAUAUAAAGUCCCAAGUCAUAUGUUUCUUUUUCUUAGCCAUGUUUAUAACAUAGUUUUAGACUUGUUUGCAAAUAGUUUCACUAAGGGAGCAGAUAAACUUGUGUAAAGUGUGAAGUCAUAUGGUCUAGAAGUUAUUGUGAGUUGCAAUUAAAAUCAUUUCUUAGCUUUGUUGGUUAUAUUUUGCUCCAGAAGGUGAUAGUAUGCUCUUUUUUAAGGUUUUUUAUUUUUUAUUUUUUCACUUAAGUUUAGGUUCUGUAAGGAGCUUUUCUAGGAUAUCCUGUUCAGGACUACUUUGAUGUCUAUAUCUGAAAUACUGAGCCUUUGAAGUACAUGAUGCACAAGGUGAGGAUUGUUCAAGCCUUCAAGCUACUCAUGUUCUUAUCUGAAAAUAUAGGUGGCUAACAUGGUCAAAUGCCUCAUUUUAUAUGAGCAUACAUUGAUAUCCUUAUUGGAAAAUCAUGUAAAUUUAUGGAGACAUAGUAGUCUAAAAAAAGAGUUGUGCACACAAAUCACAAAUGCAGUGGUCGGGAUCAUGAUUUAGAUAUCUUCAGUUGUAGGUACUUCAUUAAGAUGUAUGCUAGAGUGUGCAGUAUGUCAUAGAAAUAUGCAGAGUGCAAGGAAACUGAGAUCAUGAUUUACCUUCUCUCCUUUUCUAUCUAUAGAAGUGUCUAUAUGCUUUUUACAUGUAUUGGAGUAGAUAAUUGUAUCCAGAAAAUUCUGUAAAGUUUGCUUUCCAUAGCUUUGUGAUGAUAAAACCAUUAUGUAAGCCGGGGAUUUCUCUGACUUAUCAAUUCCUCUUGGAGCACCAUCACAUCAAGUAAAAAAGGGUGAAGUGUUUGAUGUCAAUGUAUUAAUUAAAAAAGAUGUAGCUUUGAGUCAUAAAAUCUGAGACAUGCGACUAGUUACUCAUUGGUUUUUUCAGUUGAAGGAUAAAAACAGGAAAUUAUUAGUAAAAGAUUUGCCUCUAGUUACUCAUAUUGGUUUUUUCAGUUGAAGGAUAAAAAGAUGAAAUUAUUAGUAAAAGAUUUGCCUCUGCAAGAUCUAACUUUGACCUGAAUCAUUAUUUGUCCAGGAGAAUGUAUUACAAUCUUUCAAGCUUCCACACCC